GUAACACGUAAAGAACCUGCCCUCAGGUCUGGGAUAACCACGAGAAAUCGGGGCUAAUACCGGAUGGGUCAUCGGACCGCAUGGUCCGAGGAUGAAAGGCGCUUCGGCGUCGCCUGGGGAUGGCUUUGCGGUGCAUUAGCUAGUUGGUGGGGUAAUGGCCCACCAAGGCGACGAUGCAUAGCCGACCUGAGAGGGUGAUCGGCCACACUGGGACUGAGACACGGCCCAGACUCCUACGGGAGGCAGCAGUAGGGAAUCUUCCACAAUGGACGAAAGUCUGAUGGAGCAACGCCGCGUGAACGAUGAAGGCCUUCGGGUCGUAAAGUUCUGUUGUAAGGGAAGAACAAGUGCCGCAGGCAAUGGCGGCACCUUGACGGUACCUUGCGAGAAAGCCACGGCUAACUACAUGCCAGCAGCCGCGGUAAUACGUAGGUGGCAAGCGUUGUCCGGAAUUAUUGGGCGUAAAGCGCGCGCAGGCGGCCUCUUAAGUCUGAUGUGAAAGCCCCCGGCUCAACCGGGGAGGGCCAUUGGAAACUGGGAGGCUUGAGUAUAGGAGAGAAGAGUGGAAUUCCACGUGUAGCGGUGAAAUGCGUAGAGAUGUGGAGGAACACCAGUGGCGAAGGCGACUCCUUGGCCUAUAACUGACGCUGAGGCG
RNAcentral lists this ribosomal RNA (655 nucleotides) under uncultured bacterium. RNAcentral describes it as "bacterial SSU rRNA". It matches the Rfam family "Bacterial small subunit ribosomal RNA", at positions 110 to 753 of the family's 1533-position model. The record is from RNAcentral.